RNAcentral lists this ribosomal RNA (351 nucleotides) under uncultured bacterium. RNAcentral describes it as "partial 16S ribosomal RNA". It matches the Rfam family "Bacterial small subunit ribosomal RNA", at positions 338 to 686 of the family's 1533-position model. The record is from RNAcentral.
CCUACGGGAGGCAGCAGUGAGGAAUAUUGGUCAAUGGGCGCGAGCCUGAACCAGCCAAGUAGCGUGAAGGAUGACUGCCCUACGGGUUGUAAACUUCUUUUAUAAAGGAAUAAAGUGAGGCACGUGUGCCUUUUUGUAUGUACUUUAUGAAUAAGGAUCGGCUACCUCCGUGCCAGCAGCCGCGGUCAUACGGAGGAUCCGAGCGUUCUCCGGAUUUAUUGGGUUUAAAGGGAGCGUAGAUGGGGUGUUAAGUCAGUUGUGAAAGUUUGCGGGUCAACCGUAAAAUUGCAAUUUAUACUGGGAGUCUUGAGGACAGUUGAGGGAGGCGGAAUUCGGGGUGUAGCGGGGAAA